AGUGAACGCUGGCGGUAGGCCUAACACAUGCAAGUCGAACGGCAGCACAGUAAGAGCUUGCUCUUACGGGUGGCGAGUGGCGGACGGGUGAGGAAUACAUCGGAAUCUACUUUUUCGUGGGGGAUAACGUAGGGAAACUUACGCUAAUACCGCAUACGACCUACGGGUGAAAGCAGGGGAUCUUCGGACCUUUCGCGAUUGAAUGAGCCGAUGUCGGAUUAGCUAGUUGGCGGGGUAAAGGCCCACCAAGGCGACGAUCCGUAGCUGGUCUGAGAGGAUGAUCGGCCACACUGGAACUGAGACACGGUCCAGACUCCUACGGGAGGCAGCAGUGGGGAAUGUUGGACAAUGGGCGCAAGCCUGAUCCAGCCAUACCGCGUGGGUGAAGAAGGCCUUCGGGUUGUAAAGCCCUUUUGUUGGGAAAGAAAAGCAGCAGGUUAAUACCCCGCUGUUCUGACGGUACCCAAAGAAUAAGCACCGGCUAACUUCGUG
This 492-nucleotide ribosomal RNA is filed under the name uncultured bacterium. Its description in RNAcentral is "partial 16S ribosomal RNA". It matches the Rfam family "Bacterial small subunit ribosomal RNA", at positions 29 to 507 of the family's 1533-position model. The record is from RNAcentral.